RNAcentral lists this ribosomal RNA (301 nucleotides) under uncultured bacterium. RNAcentral describes it as "partial 16S ribosomal RNA". It matches the Rfam family "Bacterial small subunit ribosomal RNA", at positions 509 to 807 of the family's 1533-position model. The record is from RNAcentral.
CAGUAGCCGCGGGAAUACGGAGGGAGCUAGCGUUGUUCGGAAUUACUGGGCGUAAAGCGCGCGUAGGCGGUUACUCAAGUCAGAGGUGAAAGCCCGGGGCUCAACCCCGGAACUGCCUUUGAAACUAGGUGACUAGAAUCUUGGAGAGGUCAGUGGAAUUCCGAGUGUAGAGGUGAAAUUCGUAGAUAUUCGGAAGAACACCAGUGGCGAAGGCGACUGACUGGACAAGUAUUGACGCUGAGGUGCGAAAGCGUGGGGAGCAAACAGGAUUAGAUACCCGGGUAGUCCCUGUCUCUUAUAC